UGCCUUCGGACGGCGUAAAAAGCAGCGAGGAAGAGUUGAAGCGACCAACGUAAAAAAGCGUA
This 62-nucleotide non-coding RNA is filed under the name unclassified sequences. Its description in RNAcentral is "GP20-b RNA". It matches the Rfam family "GP20-b RNA". The record is from RNAcentral.